This 573-nucleotide long non-coding RNA is filed under the name Homo sapiens (human). Its description in RNAcentral is "non-protein coding lnc-CLDN2-2:1". The record is from RNAcentral. Lineage: Eukaryota; Metazoa; Chordata; Mammalia; Primates; Hominidae.
CAUAUAGGCCCUGCCAAGUCCACCAAUAUUGGCCAUCUGGUUUGCAAAUACAGUGGAAUUGAUAAAAGAACCAUUGAGAAGUUUGAGAAGGCAGUACCUGAGCUGGGAAAGAGAUCCCUCAAAUAAGCCUGGGCCUUGAAUAAAUCGUUAAGUUAAACAUGAACGUGAUGGCAUCACCAAUAUCUUUCUAUGGACAUUCAACACCUUCAAAUCCUAUGUGCUCAUCAUUAAUGUCUCAGGACACAAAUGUUUUCUUCUAAAACAUUUACACAUACACUUAAGCCUGAUGGAAUUGGCUAACAUAAAAUAAUUGUUUGUUUUAAAAAAUGAAUUCCACCGAGACACUCUACAACCGGGAAAUAUAUGACAAAAUUGUUAAAGAACCCAGCCCUUACUUUUCAAAAAUGGCUACAACCCAAACAGUAGUAUUUGCUCUAAUUUCUAAUUGAAAUGGGAAAAAUAUGCUGGAGUCAAGCUCUAAAAUAACUUCAUCAAAUGGAUGGGAAUUAAUAUAUAAGGAUGACAUUGCUUGAAAUACACUGCAUGAAGCUUUGGAUUCCAUCCUGAAGGAGG